Molecule: unclassified non-coding RNA, 507 nt
Filed under: Hevea brasiliensis (rubber tree)
Lineage: Eukaryota; Viridiplantae; Streptophyta; Magnoliopsida; Malpighiales; Euphorbiaceae
Source: RNAcentral
AUACCAAGGGAAGGACUACUUUUAUCGUUCGAAGUUGCUUGGGUAUGUUUGCUGAACACCACAUGUUUGUUUAUUUAUCUCUACGAAUUGCCAUUUGUUUUUUCGUUGUAUUAACAUUAAAAACUGGAUCCACGCCUUAUAAAUUUGCCUUGUUGCAUUCUGUUCUUCAUUUUUGAUGUAGUGUGUUAGUACUAUGAUAAUUUUUCUUGGCAACUUUAGCUAUAGGGAUUCAUUAUUCAUCAUUAGGUGUCGGGUGGGUCAGCCACUGGCUGCUUAAUUGAAAAUGAUUUCACUAGAAGCUUAGUUGAUGAUGUUCGAAAAAGAUACUUUAGGCAGGGCAGGGCAGCACUCCGUGCGAUCCCAUCAACUUUUACUUUACAUGAUGCCCCCAAGCCAGACGACAGGGAUCAAGUCACGGAUUAGCAUAUUAAAAUUGGCCGAAUAGUGAAAUCAAUUUCAAUAAGGCUUUAGCCUAGUGGUAAAAUUGCCCGAGCUUGAGGCCUCAAG